GCUAGCGUAGCUUAAUCCAAAGCAUUUCACUGAAGUUGUUAAGAUGGGCCCUAGAAAGCCCCGCAAGCA
This 69-nucleotide transfer RNA is filed under the name Scorpaena agassizii (longfin scorpionfish). RNAcentral describes it as "tRNA-Phe". It matches the Rfam family "tRNA". From Rfam's summary of the family: Transfer RNA (tRNA) molecules are approximately 80 nucleotides in length. Their secondary structure includes four short double-helical elements and three loops (D, anti-codon, and T loops). Lineage: Eukaryota; Metazoa; Chordata; Actinopteri; Perciformes; Scorpaenidae. The record is from RNAcentral.